Herpailurus yagouaroundi (jaguarundi) is the source of this 697-nucleotide long non-coding RNA. RefSeq lists it as uncharacterized. The record is from RefSeq and is a predicted model, not a curated record. NCBI's taxonomy places the organism in Eukaryota, Metazoa, Chordata, Mammalia, Carnivora, Felidae. The transcript is spliced from 3 exons.
GGCUCCAGGCUCCAAGCUGGAAUGAAAAGACCCAGAUAUGGGGUUCAAACCCAUGAAGUGUGAGAUCAUGACUUGAGCUGAUGUCUGAUUCUUAAUCGACAGACACCCUGCCCCUCCCUGUUCUUAUUUUUGCUUCCCUUAUGUUCAUCUGUUUUGUAUCUUAAAUUCCUCCUAUGAGUGAAGUCGUAGGCCAUUUUCUUUCUCUAAUUUUUUUUUAUUUUCUAGUAAGACUAAAUUUAUUCAAUACCCUAAUAAAAGUUUUGAUUAUAAGUAUCCAACAGUAUAAAAAGUACAAAACAGAUUUGUAGAUUUCUAAUAUAUUAAUACAAAGUGCAUGACUACAUAUAGUACAUCCUACAGGCAAAGAGGUGGAAGGGGAAAAAGAAGGCUGUGGUUGAGGUCUGGUAAUAAAUGAAUACAGAAGUAGAGAUGAUCCAUAUUAUAGUAUAUUCUACCACCAAUACUGUAGCCAAAAUGUACAAAAAAAUAAAAAAAAAACCAUUUGGAAACAACAGGAGGAAUAUGAUAAUGGCUGGGACUCUUGUAAUUCACCUCAGAAGCUGUGGGAGAGCCAACCCAACUCAUGGUGUAAUCUGUGCAUAUGGUGGCUUGUAGUUUUUGCCAUAAGGAAGAAAUAUAAAAUUUUAAGUUUAGAUUAAGAAUUAUAAAACUAUAUGGUGCCCAGAUUGGAAGAGCA